This 1251-nucleotide ribosomal RNA is filed under the name Triticum aestivum (bread wheat). RNAcentral's name for it is "partial small subunit ribosomal RNA". Lineage: Eukaryota; Viridiplantae; Streptophyta; Magnoliopsida; Poales; Poaceae. The record is from RNAcentral.
AUGUUGUCUAGACAAAUCUGGAGACUUAUUCAAUGCCCAGAUUCUCUGUGUGCGAAAGUGCUGCAAGCACGUUAUUUUCCAAAUGGGCAAAUCCUUGAGGCUGCACCAAGGGAUGGCAUCUCCUACUCAUGGCGUAGUUUGCUUCAUGGUCUGCAGCUGUUUCGGGAAGGAUAUAUCUGGAGGAUUGGGGAUGGAUCAAGCGUAAGAAUUUGGACUGACCAGUGGAUUCCUCGUCCCUGUUCGAGACAGGUUAUUACUCCUUGCGGACCAAACAUCCUGGAGUGGGUCUGUGAUCUCAUUGAUCCGACCACAGGAAGCCGGGAUGUGCAGCUGGUCAGGGAUACUUUCUGGGCUGACGCCGCCAACCACAUCCUUCGGAUACCUCUGCGGGAAGGUGUUCAAGACUUCAUAGCGUGGCACUAUGAUAGCAAGGGAGUUCAUUCGGUGAAAAGUGCCUAUAAACUCCAUAUACAACUGGAACAGACCAAGGUCGAUGCGGGAGCUGGUGGGAGCAACAAUAUUCCGGGCAACCUAGACAGGACAAAUGAUGAUGCAUGGAAACAUUUGUGGAAACUCCCAUGCCCGAAGAACAUCCAAAUGUUCGCGUGGAGGCUUAAGCAUGAAUCCCUAGUCCUUCGAACAAAUGUGGCUAGGAAAGGCAUUCCGAUUGCGGACACAAAAUGCAUGUUCUGUGGUAAGGCUGGCGAGGAUGGGGCACAUCUGUUUAUUAAGUGCAAAGAAGUGAAAGAGGUUUGGAGGGAUUUAGCUAUGGAGAAAGAACGCCAUGAGCUAGAAAGGAUCACGUCUGUGCAUGUAAUGCUGGACUUUCUUUGGGACCUAGAUGUGAAAAAGCGCCUACAUGUGCUUACCUUUUGGUGGCUGUGGUGGGCUAAUCAGAAUAAAUUGAGAGAGGGACGGCUGCCCAGCCAGCCUGCAGAUGUGGCGAGGAGAACGAGAAGUAAUGUCCUGGAAUACAUGCAAAUCUUUGGGAAGACUACGGACAAACCCUGCCCGGACAGGUGGCAGCCUCCCGCGGAGUCAGAGUACAAAAUAAAUGUCGAUGGAUCCUUUGUGGCGGGGCAGGAUCAUGUAGGUUGGGGCGUGGCAGCGAGGACGGCUGGCGGUCGGCUUGUUUGCGCUCCCGCGGGCAGGACGGAGAACAUCCAUGACGCUUUCGCGGCCGAAGCUGCAGCCAUGUCCCAUGUAAUCAGUAUGUGUAAGGGCAUAUUUGUCCCUAAGAUGUUUUGGUGA